GAGGUGAAAAGCAAAAAUCACAUUCGAUGUGCGUCCUGCAGCGAGCUGUCAGAGGCAGCACGCCCAGGGCAGUGAGAGCUGCACCCCAGCACCACCCAGAAACGACACUCAGCAGCUCAGCAUCCAGGCCCUCGUCUCCGCCAGAGCUGAGAAUCAGGUCUGUCAGCCUCUGUGCUUCGUCCCGAGGUGUUUUGUGCAGGAUGUGUCCUAAGGACCAAACAGCCAGACCAAAGGAAGGAGGCCCGUCAGAACACGGCAAGAUGCAACUGUCAACCGUGAAGACCUGUCUGGCUGGAGACUCUGAGCCACGCCGUGCUCAAGGCUGCAGACUCAAACCAUGAUCCCACCUCUAACCAGCUGUGUAGUCUUCACAAGUCACUCAGCCCCUCUGUAAAGGGGAGAGAAUACAGCACAA
Vicugna pacos (alpaca) is the source of this 415-nucleotide non-coding RNA. The record is from RefSeq and is a predicted model, not a curated record. NCBI's taxonomy places the organism in Eukaryota, Metazoa, Chordata, Mammalia, Artiodactyla, Camelidae.